Molecule: long non-coding RNA, 3427 nt
Filed under: Homo sapiens (human)
Lineage: Eukaryota; Metazoa; Chordata; Mammalia; Primates; Hominidae
Description: HSALNT0401496
Source: RNAcentral
GGCCAGAGAUGACACAACAGAGAAAAUGAAUCAAGAUGAAAACAAGAAUAAGAAUAAUUUCCCUUCCUGGCCGGGCGCGGUAGCUCACUUUGGGAGACCAAGAGAAUUCAUGGCUGGGACCAGCUAGUCCUUGGCUCCACCUUCUUGGGAGCAGAUUAAAUACGACUUCAAGCCAGUGAGGUGAUUUGAGUCCCAGCAGCCUCAUCUGCCAAGUCAACCCCAGCACUGCAUUGAGAAAGGUCAGAGAUUCGGAGUGCAGACAAGAGCUGUCCCAUGCCAGAGCCCAAACUUGUCCCCUGGUUGGGAAGCUGAGGAGUGAUUCUUUGGUUCUCAGAUGCUCCGAGGGUGCCUCAGGUGGCAUGCAGUCAGUGCACACAUCCCAGGUAUGUUAGCUGCACCCCGGCCAGCCUCCCGAGUUUGGGGUGCUGCCGACACAGGAUGCGUCUACUGCGCAUCAUGAUAGGCCUCCCCAAGUACCCUGUCCUGCUGGUGCCCUGUCUUCUGACCCCUCAUCAGAUCUUGGUGCCAAGCCCUGACAACCACUUCACUCUGGAGGCCGUUCUCAGAGCCUAUUUCACAGCUCAUUCAGAAGGAAAAUGAGGGGGCCUUUUCCAUUUCCAGUAUUAAAUGAUUUAAUUCACAAGGGACUUGGUCAACACAAGUAUCCCAACAGAGCCCAGGCCCUGUAUCAUUUGCAAUUUACCAUUCUGAUUAAAACCAACCCAACCCCAUCAAGCUCUGCAUGGGGUGAACCAGCCGAAACUGCACCACAGGCCCCAGCAGGACAUCCGGCCCAGGGAACUGAGGCCGGGGAGGGGAGGGGGAGCCGGGAGUGCCUCUGCCUCAUUUCAGGAGACUGAUAUGAAUGGUAGGAAAUCCGGUCCCCCCUUAAGAUGGAUGUUUCUGUAGAAAUACAUCUGAUAAAUGUUUAAUUACAUUUUAAGAGGGACCAUUAUUCAUGGAACAGUCAUUAGCCCCAGAGGACUUCAAGCCCCUCACCUGGUUAAGAGCCACGUUCAUAUGCAGAUCAGCCCCCCACUUCCAACACUCCCUGCUCCAAGAGGAGAGCAGCUGGGAGAGCCUGGUGAGCUCUCCAUCAAAACAGGGUGACACAGGGCAGCAGUGGGGUGGCCAGUGGCUUGGCUGUGGGUGGGAGAUUUCAGACAGGUCGACAUAAGCCAGGAACCUGAAUCAAGGCGUCGAGACCUCAGCCCCACCCCGACCCACCUGUUCUAAGGGUCCCUGCAGGGCUCCGUAAUCCCCACCUGUGACAGACUCCCCUCCUGAAGCUCUUGAUGCUUCCCAGGCCCCCUCGAAGUCCUGUGGUUCCCUGGAGAUGCUGUCAGCCCACAAGGUGCCAGGAAGGACCUUCUUGGGAUGAAAGACUUGGGUGAACCUGUCCUGGGUGACAUGCAGUGGGUGUGUCGCUCAGAGUUCUGAGGUGGCAGGUGACAGAAUCCACGUAAGGUCCUGAAGCAAGGAAAAGCAGAACCGACCAGAAGGUCCCAGGAGCAGGAGUCCCAGGUCUUUGAGGGGCAGGAACUAGGGCAUCCUGGAGCUCUGGGUGGCAGGGGCAAGUGAGAAGAGCUUGCUGAGGGCUGCUCAGUAUAAGCCCAGGUGACUUAAGUCCCAGAAAAAAAACCGGUGGGCCCUUACCCAUAGAAGGCAGCAGAGCCAGACCAUUGCCGUGCACUCCAGGAGGUGCAGGCACCAUUCUGCCUCUCAGCCCUGCCAGGAAACUUCUCCCUUCCUCUUUCCCCUCGCCCUCCUCUACCAGGUGGAAUUAAUUAGCAAAAAAACACAAACACAAAAACAAACUCUCAAUGCCUAAAUAGCAUUGUUUAUUUGUCACUGACUUCACCUUGUAUUUGCCUGUCUUUGUGCCUCAGUCUCUAAAAUGAGCACAAAAUGAACAUUCAAGGGAGAUAAGUGUGCACUGGCCUGGGGAGUGGGGGGAGACAGCUUCAAUCUGUCAAACAGCCUAUUCCAUGUGAGAAAUGUCAGCAGAUAGAAAUGGAUUAAGUCUGCCACUGAGUUGGUUACAAUCCAGAGGUGAGGGUCUUUGGAGUGACCUUUAUUUAAGAAAUAUCACAGCAAAGUCUGUUGGAAAGACGCUCUGGUGAAUGAUGGAGCCUGAUGCACGGUGUGUUCACUGGGCUCUCCGGAAAAAGAGCCAGCAGGAGGUGUCCAUAUCCUACAUACAGAGAAAGAGGUUGAGUUUAAGGAAUUGGCUAAUGUGAUCCUGAAGGCUAGCAAGUCCAAAAUCUGCAGGCUGGGCAGGUUCGAGACCCAGGGAGGAGCCGGCGCUGCCGUUCAAGUCUGAAGGUCAUGGAGCUGGAGAGGGGAGGAGCCAGUGCUGCCGUUCAAGUCUGAAGGUCAUGGAGCUGAAGACCCAGGGAAAAGUUGGUGCUGCCAUUCAAGUCUGAAUAUCGUGGAGCUGGAGACCCAGAAAGGAACCGGUGCUGCUGUUCUAGUUUGAGGGUCAUGGAGCUGGAGACCAGGGGAAGAGCCGGAUUGCUGUCGAAGUCUGAGGGUCGUGGAGCUGGAGACGUGGGGAGAAGCUGGUGUUGCCAUUCAAGUCUGAAGAUAGGAGAGCUGGAGACCCAGAAAGGAGCUGGUGCUGCUGUUCAAGUCUGAGGGUCAUGGAGCUGGAGACCCAGAAAGGAAAUGGUGCUACUCUUCGAGUUUGAGGGUCAUGGAGCUAGAGACUGGGGGAGGAGCUACCGUUCGAGUGGCGGCUCCCUGGGUCUCCAGCUCCAAGAUGCUCAAACUUGAACAGCGGUAGCACCAGCUCCUCCCCGGGUCUCCAGUUCCAUGACCCUCAGACUUGAAGAGUAGCACCAUUGCCUUUCUGGGUCUCCAGCUCCAUGAUCCUCAGACUUGAGGAGCUGGAGACCCAGGGAGGAGCCGGUGCUGCUGUUCCUGUUUGAGGGUCAUGGAGCUGGAGACCUGGGGAGAAGCUGGUGCUGCUGUUCAAGUCUGAAGAUAGUGGAGCUGGAGACCCAGAAAGGAGUUGGCACUGCUGUUCAAGUCUGAGGGUCGUGGAGCUGGAGACCCAGAAAGGAAAUGGUGCUAGUCUUCAAGUUUGAUGGUCAUGGAGCUGGAGAUAUGGGGAGGAGUCAGUGCUGCUGUUCUAGUUUGAGGGUCUGGGAUCUGGUGACCCGGGGAGGAGCCAGUGCUGCAGUUCAGGUUUGAGGGUCAUGGAGGUGCUGACCCAGGGAGGAGCUGGUGCUGCUUUUUAAAUUUGAGGGUCGUGGAGCUGGGGAUCUGGGGAAAAGCCAGUGCUGCUGUUUUAUUUUCAGGGUCACGGAGCUAAAGACCCGGGAAGGAGCUGGUACUGCAGUUCAAGUUUGAGGUUCGUGGAGCUGGAUAUCUGGGCAGGAGUCAGUGCUCCUGUUCUAGUUUGAGGGUCUGUAGCUGGGGACCU